GGGGUCGUAGUUCAGUUUGGUUAGAACGCUGGCCUGUCACGNNACGCCAGAGGUCGCGAGUUCAAGUCUCGUCGGCCCCGCCA
This 83-nucleotide transfer RNA is filed under the name Candidatus Aminicenantota bacterium. Its description in RNAcentral is "Candidatus Aminicenantes bacterium tRNA-OTHER". It matches the Rfam family "tRNA". Rfam says of the family: Transfer RNA (tRNA) molecules are approximately 80 nucleotides in length. Their secondary structure includes four short double-helical elements and three loops (D, anti-codon, and T loops). RNAcentral also lists the same sequence under 1 other name. The record is from RNAcentral. Lineage: Bacteria; Candidatus Aminicenantota.